UGACAUUGUGAGGGUAAAAGAAAAUUACAUAUUGGUGAUUGAAGUCUCUUAUCUAUAUGCCCUGUUGGACUGGAAGAGGGGACAAAAAAUUGGAUAGAGAGGCAUGGUCAAAACAUACAGGAUAAGUGAUUUUAGCACGGUGCAAUAGCGAGAAUAGUUCUAUAGAACAAAGAAAGUGAUCUGGACGAGAAUUGUCUUGAUUAUCAUAUCCUGUAAAUGUUCGUUGGCCUGAGUCUCCAUGAAUAUGUCCUGUGGUUAUAA
This 261-nucleotide long non-coding RNA is filed under the name Dunaliella salina. RNAcentral's name for it is "long non-coding RNA (DSAL_LNC000272)". Lineage: Eukaryota; Viridiplantae; Chlorophyta; Chlorophyceae; Chlamydomonadales; Dunaliellaceae. The record is from RNAcentral.